GGUCAAGUGAAGAAGCGCAUACGGUGGAUGCCUUGGCAGUCAGAGGCGAUGAAAGACGUGGUAGCCUGCGAUAAGCUUUGGGGAGUCGGCAAACAGACUGUGAUCCAGAGAUCUCUGAAUGGGGGAACCCACUCAGCAUAAGCUGAGUAUCUUGUACUGAAUACAUAGGUGCAAGAGGCGAACCAGGGGAACUGAAACAUCUAAGUACCCUGAGGAAAAGAAAUCAACCGAGAUUCCCUUAGUAGUGGCGAGCGAACGGGGACCAGCCCUUAAGUUGGUUUGAGAUUAGUGGAACGCUCUGGAAAGUGCGGCCAUAGUGGGUGAUAGCCCCGUACACGAAAAUCUCUUAUCAAUGAAAUCGAGUAGGACGGAGCACGAGAAACUUUGUCUGAAUAUGGGGGGACCAUCCUCCAAGGCUAAAUACUACUGACUGACCGAUAGUGAACCAGUACCGUGAGGGAAAGGCGAAAAGAACCCCUGUGAGGGGA
This 488-nucleotide ribosomal RNA is filed under the name Gilvimarinus gilvus. Its description in RNAcentral is "partial 23S ribosomal RNA". It matches the Rfam family "Bacterial large subunit ribosomal RNA", at positions 1 to 537 of the family's 2925-position model. The record is from RNAcentral. Lineage: Bacteria; Pseudomonadati; Pseudomonadota; Gammaproteobacteria; Cellvibrionales; Cellvibrionaceae.